UGCCGGGGUAGCCUAGCCCGGAAAGGCGCCAGACUUGAGAUCUGGUGCUCGUUUGAGCUCAGGGGUUCAAAUCCCUUCCCCGGCGU
RNAcentral lists this transfer RNA (86 nucleotides) under archaeon BMS3Bbin15. Its description in RNAcentral is "tRNA-Ser". It matches the Rfam family "tRNA". Rfam says of the family: Transfer RNA (tRNA) molecules are approximately 80 nucleotides in length. Their secondary structure includes four short double-helical elements and three loops (D, anti-codon, and T loops). The record is from RNAcentral.